RNAcentral lists this small RNA (79 nucleotides) under Arabidopsis thaliana (thale cress). RNAcentral's name for it is "ATSL164110". Lineage: Eukaryota; Viridiplantae; Streptophyta; Magnoliopsida; Brassicales; Brassicaceae. The record is from RNAcentral.
ACNUUAACUGUGGUGUUCUGAUAGGAUCAAGUGCAUUAGUGCUGGUAUGAUCGCAUCAGUUACUACAUGCAAUGCAAUC